UUUUACUUAGUUUAAUAAUUAAAAUAAUGAUUUGUCAGGUCAUAGAUUGAAAGUUUCAAGUAAAAG
RNAcentral lists this transfer RNA (66 nucleotides) under Bulinus nasutus. RNAcentral's name for it is "tRNA-Asp". Lineage: Eukaryota; Metazoa; Mollusca; Gastropoda; Planorbidae. The record is from RNAcentral.